This 269-nucleotide ribosomal RNA is filed under the name uncultured prokaryote. RNAcentral's name for it is "partial 16S ribosomal RNA". It matches the Rfam family "Bacterial small subunit ribosomal RNA", at positions 524 to 792 of the family's 1533-position model. The record is from RNAcentral.
UACGGAGGAUGCGAGCGUUAUCCGGAUUUAUUGGGUUUAAAGGGUGCGCAGGCGGGAGAUUAAGUCGGCGGUGAAAUUUUGCAGCUCAACUGUAAAAGUGCCUUCGAAACUGGUUUCCUUGAGUGUAGAUGAAGUAGGCGGAAUUUGUGGUGUAGCGGUGAAAUGCAUAGAUAUCACGAGGAACUCCGAUUGCGCAGGCAGCUUACUAAACUACUACUGACGCUCAUGCACGAAGGCGUGGGGAUCAAACAGGAUUAGAUACCCCCGUA